This 3240-nucleotide long non-coding RNA is filed under the name Homo sapiens (human). RNAcentral describes it as "HSALNT0001921". The record is from RNAcentral. Lineage: Eukaryota; Metazoa; Chordata; Mammalia; Primates; Hominidae.
AUCCUCAAUCUCAGAUCUGUCUACAUGCUGACUCUUACUGGCCCUCAGUCCCCUCUCCCAAACCCUGCAUAGAAGCCACCUGAUGACUGAGUCACAUGACCAGCCUCACCCUCUCAGCAAACUCGCCCUCCCUGUCUGACCUGCUCUGGACUAGCAGGAAGGAUAGGAGGGCAUGGGACAGCUUUACUCUGCACUCAGCCCAUCGGGGACCAGCUGAAGACAGGUGAUCAGGUUCAGCAGGCUCUGUGAGGCACCUGGAAGGUGGGCGUUGCCGGAGUCAGUCUCCCCUUUCCUGCACUGCCACUGCCCAGUGCAACGUUCUGAAGAGUCACCAGAGACGCUGCUGAAUGCAAACUCCAGAGCCUCUGGCAACCUCGAUUUGUUGUUCUGGUGGAGGCUGGAAUGCUAUUUUCAAUCAUUGCCAUGGCCAUAAUCCUCAAACAGCGGGCAUUCAACUUGGUGGGACAUGCCGAGCUUGUUGACAAUACAACAACCUGAACCCCAUUCUGAUUCAACACCUGCUGCAGUGGAAACCAAGAAUCUCUCUUUUAACAAUAGGACCAGGUGAUCCUUACCCUAAAGAGACCCAGUAGUAGGUAAUUUGUAUCCUCACUGAAACAUAGGAAGGUGGAAGUGACUACCAUCCCCUUGUACCAACAAGGAACCAAGCUGAGGCCAGUGACCAGCCCAAGGUCACAGCCAGUAUGGAGCAGAGCUGAGAUUAACCUGGGGCUGGUGCUCCAACACCUUUUAAACUUGUGUGUCUUGUAUGGGUACAAAUCUGGGCAAAGCAAAAGCCUAGGAGCUGACUGCUGUACCCUGGGAGUCAGGGAUUGACCUCUGUUAUAACGUUUCCACUUGCAAGGUGGCCUGAGAUCAUCAGGAAUUGCUAAAACAGUGGUAAAGGGUGCAGCGAGGGGCAAGGAUGGGUGAGUAGGACAUCUUGGCCUUGGGCCCCUGAAAGUCUUGCGUCCAAUACCUGGCCCACAUCUACCAGCUAUGUGACCCUGGCCAAAUCAUCGAAUGUCUCUGAGCCUCACAUUUUUCAUCUAUGAAACAGCUAUUGAGAUACUCAUACUGCUGGGUUGUGAGAUGAGAGGGGAUGUGGAGAAAAUACCUGGCACAUCACAAUGCUCAGUAAAGGGUGCCUGUAUGGUCUUGGAGGCAAGGGCUGGCUUGGGUCCAGGUUGAUGCUGAGUAGGUGUGACCUGGAAGAGUCACCCAGUUCACUGAGCUACAUCAGUGCAGAACAGACAUUAGACCUGCCCUGCCCACCUUAAAGCCCGUUGGAAGAAUGGGAUGGAAUUAUGUGUGGGAAUAUCUGAUGAAGCUGAAAAGUAGUCCACUGAUGGAUGUCAUUUUCAUUUUGAUUCCAGGCUACUUGCAAUACUAAGAAGACCUCUCUUCCCUUCAUGAAUCUUUCUAAAGCCUAAUGCGGAGGUUAGGUGGGGAGACCUCAUUGGGAUCUGCAAGAGUCCCCUGUGUCCCCUCCUCCUCCAGGAAGCUUUCCCGGAUGCCCCAGGCUGGAUUUGAGGUCCCAUUGCUAUGCUCUCAAUGCACCCAGGAUUGGCCUCCACACUCUUCAUUCCCUGAAAUUGUUCACUUUCUCCUCCAUCUACUCUCCCCACCUCCCCCAGCCAUCACCACCCCCUGUGAGUCCCCCAUUAGCAAGGCCUGUGUGAAAUUCAUCUCUGUCUGCCCAGACUAGGGGACCAGCCAGUGUUGAUGAGUUGAAUGCAUGGAUUUCACCUCACUGGGAGUCUACUUUGUUUACUUUCUAGAUAACUGUCCUCCAAAGAGCGGAUGGUUAAUUGUAUGUGUCAACUUGAGUUGACCCCAGGAUACCCAGAUUAAACGUUAUUUCUGGGUGUAUCUGUGAGGGUGUUUCCAGAUGAGAUUCACAUUUGAGUCUGCGGACUCAGUAGAUGGCCCUCCUCACUAUGGGUGGCAUCGUCCAAUCCAUUAAGGACCUGGAUAGAGCAAAAGGUGGAAGGAGUAAUUUGCCCCUUUUCCCGUCCCCGACUGUUGAGCUGGGACGUCUCAUGUCUUCUCCUGCUCUCAGACUGGGAUUUAUGUCAACACCCCUGGCUCUCAGACCUUUGGACUUGGACUCAAUCAAACCACUGGCUUUCCUGGGUCUCCAGCUUACAGACAGCAGAUCUUGGGAUUUCUCAGCCUUCACAAUCAUGUGAGCCAAUUCAUCAUAAUAAAUCAUAUAUCUACAUAUAUAUAUGUAGAUAUAUAUAUCCUUCUGGUUCUGUUUCUCUGGAGAACUCUAACACAUCAUCGCUUCUCCCUUUUAGAGGAAGUGUUUAAAUGAAAAGCUAGAACUUUGGGUUCUUCCUCCUACUUUUCUGCAAUAUUUGGAUGUGGACAAAGACCAUUUUGGGGUCUCCUUCCACCCAAACCCAAGAAUACACGUCUUUCACUUCCCAUCAGAAUCCCCCUGUGCCCAUCCCCAUCCUCUUGGGACUCUGACACCUAACUCUGCCAGGAUUUGUGAUCAGAGGGAUGGUUGUUCCUUCAAAGAAUUCAUUUACAUUCACACCCAGUAGAGUGGCUAAAAUUUUAAAAAGACGGUGCCAAGUGCCGACAAGGAUGUGGGGAAACUGGAAUCCUUAUGUGUGGCUGGUGGGGAUGUGAAAUCAUGCAGCUACUUUGGAAAAUAGUUUGGCAGUUCCUCAAAAUGUGAACUCUUGAGUUGUCAUAUGACCCAGUUCCCUCCUAGCUAUAUAUCCAAGAAGAUCUAUGUCCACAGAAAAACUGUCACAUGAAUGUUCACUGCAGCAACAUUCUUAAUAGCCAAAAAGCAGAACCAACCCCAAAGUAAAUCACCUGAAGAAUGAGUGAGUGAAAUAUGGUCUAUUCCUACAAUGGAACAUUUGGCCAUAAGAAGGAAUGAAGUACUAACACGUGCUGCAACCUUGGCGAACCUUGAAAACAUUAUGCUAAGUAAAAGAAGUCAGUCACAGAAGACCACAUAUUAUCUGGUUAGACUUCUAUGAAAUGUCCAGAAUAGAUAAAUCCAUAGGAACAGAAAGUAGAUCUGUGGUUGCCUAAGGGUAGGGGCUUUGGGAGAAAUGGGGAGUAACUGCUAAUGGGCAUGCAGUUUCUUUUUAGGGGUGAUUAAAAUGUUCUAAAAUUGAUUGUGGAGGCCGGGCGCGGUGGCUCACGCCUGUAAUCUCAGCACUUUGGGAGGCCGAGGCGAGAGGAUCACGAGGUAAGAGAUCGAGACCAUCC